This 301-nucleotide ribosomal RNA is filed under the name uncultured bacterium. RNAcentral's name for it is "partial 16S ribosomal RNA". It matches the Rfam family "Bacterial small subunit ribosomal RNA", at positions 509 to 807 of the family's 1533-position model. The record is from RNAcentral.
CAGCAGCCGCGGUAAUACGAAGGGUGCAAGCGUUAAUCGGAAUUACUGGGCGUAAAGCGUGCGUAGGCGGUGAGUUAAGUCUGCUGUGAAAUCCCCGGGCUUAACCUGGGAACUGCAUUUGUGACUGGCGAGCUAGAGUAUGGCAGAGGGGGGUAGAAUUCCACGUGUAGCAGUGAAAUGCGUAGAGAUGUGGAGGAAUACCGAUGGCGAAGGCAGCCCCCUGGGCCAAUACUGACGCUCAUGCACGAAAGCGUGGGGAGCAAACAGGAUUAGAUACCCCAGUAGUCCCUGUCUCUUAUAC